This 846-nucleotide long non-coding RNA is filed under the name Anas platyrhynchos platyrhynchos (common mallard). RNAcentral's name for it is "lncRNA (ENSAPLG00000024136.1)". Lineage: Eukaryota; Metazoa; Chordata; Aves; Anseriformes; Anatidae. The record is from RNAcentral.
CUCCAGGACAUCAGCUUGCAUCUAAGCCCUGGACAAAUUCUAGUGUCCCAGCUAAAGGAGCAGAGCAAGACAAUCCAAAGGAAGCAGGAGAAGGUGAACGUGAGGACAGAAUAGCAAGCUGGUGGGUCUACUGAAGCCUUAACAAGUCUCUUUGCAGGAAAAAGUAUUCCUUCUGGCACCUUAUUUCUGCACCCCAAAAAGUGACUUCAUUCCUGUGAAACAAUGGAGAGUCUCCAAAAGAGAGGAAGAGGCAGAAAGUGAAGCAAUGAAGUAAAAAAAGUAUGAAAACAUCAGGAAGAGGAGGAAGGAGUCCUGAAGAUGGAUCAUGGAGGAAAGGGUGAAGGAGGGGAAAGUGACAGGAAAGAUCAAGAAAAGAAGGGGAAAAGGGUCCUGGUGGCGAAUGCGGCUGCCUCCCCUGCAGAGAGGCUGAGCCUGGAGGGAGCAAGAAGCUCAGCUGCACCGGGCACCUGCAGGAGAAGGACUCAUCGCUCCGUGCUGGUACCGUUGUCGGCAGUGCUCUCGCCGACUGCAAGACUGGUGGAAGCAUCAAAGGGGUGCCCUUGGAAUGUGUGCCUAAUGAUGAUCAAUGAAAAUAGAAGCCCUGUUGCAGCGAGACUCAUGAGGUCCUGCUCACAGCUGGCACACGGAGGCAUGGCUGUAAAAAGAAGAUGCUGGGCAUUAGGACUGAUAGUCCCACCAGAUUCCUCCUCACCUUGGAAAACCCUUGUCUCCUCCCAGCAGGGGAGAUGGGCCGCCUGUCCUGGUGUGGAUAGUGGUGUGCCAGCCAGAUGCUCUGCGAGCAGGGACUCAAAGUUAGUGCCUUGUUCUCAGCUCAGCAAUCUCUGA